AUUGAACGCUGGCGGCAGGCCUAACACAUGCAAGUCGAAUGGUAACAGGAAACAGCUUGCUGUUUCGCUGACGAGUGGCGGACGGGUGAGUAAUGUCUGGGAAACUGCCUGAUGGAGGGGGAUAACUACUGGAAACGGUAGCUAAUACCGCAUAACGUCGCAAGACCAAAGAGGGGGACCUUCGGGCCUCUUGCCAUAAGAUGUGCCCAGGUGGGAUUAGCUAGUAGGUGGGGUAACGGCUCACCUAGGCGACGAUCCCUAGCUGGUCUGAGAGGAUGACCAGCCACACUGGAACUGAGACACGGUCCAGACUCCUACGGGAGGCAGCAGUGGGGAAUAUUGGACAAUGGGCGCAAGCCUGAUGCAGCCAUGCCGCGUGUAUGAAGAAGGCCUUCGGGUUGUAAAGUACUUUCAGCGGGGAGGAAGGGAGUAAAGUUAAUACCUUUGCUCAUUGACGUUACCCGCAGAAGAAGCACCGGCUAACUCCGUG
This 490-nucleotide ribosomal RNA is filed under the name uncultured bacterium. Its description in RNAcentral is "partial 16S ribosomal RNA". It matches the Rfam family "Bacterial small subunit ribosomal RNA", at positions 30 to 507 of the family's 1533-position model. The record is from RNAcentral.